This is a long non-coding RNA of Lontra canadensis (Northern American river otter), 335 nucleotides long. RefSeq lists it as uncharacterized. The transcript has 3 exons. NCBI's taxonomy places the organism in Eukaryota, Metazoa, Chordata, Mammalia, Carnivora, Mustelidae. The record is from RefSeq and is a predicted model, not a curated record.
CUGCCUUGCUGGCCAGCCAGCAGCCGAACUCAGCAUGUCUUCUCAUUCCAACUCUCUCAUGAAGGGAUUAUAACUUUGAGUUUGUACAGCCUUUGGCUGACAGGACACAGGGGGAAGGCGGCGCACAGAUGGAAAAUUGGAGUGAUAAGUCUGGAAACCAAGGAAGAUGGCCGGCAAUCUGCCAGAAGUCAGAGAAAGGCAAGGAAGGAUUCCUCCCUACAGUUUCAGAAGAUUUCUAGCUUCCAUCUUCUAGAACUACAACAAAGAAAGUACUUCCUGUGGCAUCACAAGUCUCAUCGAUACUCAAUAAAUAUUCACAUCCAGGAGAAAAAAAA